CAUUUACGCCCCCACGGGCGUACAGCUCCGCGUUCAAUACUUCGACAUCAAACGGCGCUGUAAACACAUUCGGCGGCGUUUGGAACGGCGCAGUUUCCAAUUUUCAAUUUCUGUCCGAUCCUCCUCCUGUAUUAUUAUUUCUUUUUCCCCCCACUCCAUCUGUCGAGGAGCGCUUCUUUCUGUUAUUGUUCUUUCUGUUAUUUCCCCUGUCCGUAUCAAUAACACGUGGCGCUUUUCCUGCAUCCCUCCCGAGCGCUGCUGGUAUCGAUAUACGGCGCAAUUUAUUUCCUCUGCUUCAGUUCGGGAAAAAGAAGAGAGGGGAAAAAAAACCAAACACACACACACAAAAAAACCAAUUCGGCGCACAUAAAUCAUCGCUUUUUUCCAUCUCCGCGCCCUGAAAUGUUUCUCGGCGCUGCUCCUCUCCGAAGGGCGACAACGUCGGCGGGGAAACCGAAAAUCAGCGCCUCAAAAACGAGGGGAAUGUCUCGAGGAAGAAAAGGAGCUGCAACCUCGAGAGGAAAUGAAGUCACCGCGUUAUAUAUCUCCUUGCACGGCAGCGGUGUAUACACGGAGAUAGAUAAGAUUAGAUGAUGGAUGGGAAAAGCGGAGCCCCUCCCGAAAGCGAUGGUUCUCAAUUACAGAGAGCGCAGAGCGACCGCGGAACGGGGGGUGACCCCAAAAACCGACCCCCUCCACCCCACCGGAGAGCUCCGUGCCCCCAAAGCGCCGCGUUACAGCGAUCCGAUCGUCCCAAUAAAGAGAGGAAAAGCAUUGGGAUGCAAAGUGUUGCUUGUUUAAUCGGCGCGCUUCGUGAUUACGAACGCUUUGCAAUUAAUUAACGCGCAGAGGAGCAGGCCGAGGCCGCCGGCCCGAGCCAUUGGGGAGGGGGGGGGCUGCGGGGAAGGAGGGGGGGCUAUGGGCGUGCAAGGCCGAGCCUCGUGCACGCAAUUAGCAGCGCGGCUCAUUAAAUAUGGCUCUAGCCCAGCCUUGGCCGACCCACCCGUGCUGCGCCGGGCCGCCCCCUCCGCGCAUGCGCUCCCCCCCUUAUUAUUAUUUCAUACAUAUAUAUAUAUUUUUAAGGAAAAGUUGUGCGGCUGCAUUUCCCCCCCUCCAUCCCCACGCAGAUUUCCCCCCCCCUUCCCUCCCGGCGCGCCCCUCAACCCCUACCCCCACC
RNAcentral lists this long non-coding RNA (1177 nucleotides) under Gallus gallus (chicken). Lineage: Eukaryota; Metazoa; Chordata; Aves; Galliformes; Phasianidae. The record is from RNAcentral.